AUGGAGAGAUAUAGGGAGCAUAAGAAGGACUUGCAUAUGGUGUUCAUUGACUUGGAGAAGGCCUAUGAUAAGAUACCGCGGAAUGUCAUGUGGUGGGCCUUGGAGAAACACAAAGUCCCAGCAAAGUACAUUACCCUCAUCAAGGACAUGUACAAUAAUGUUGUGACAAGUGUUCGAACAAGUGAUGUCGACACUGAUGACUUCCCGAUUAAGAUAGGACUGCAUCAGGGGUCAGCUUUGAGCCCUUAUCUUUUUGCUUUGGUGAUGGAUGAGGUCACAAGGGGUAUACAAGGAGAUAUCCCAUGGUGUAUGCUCUUUGCGGAUGAUGUGGUGCUAGUUGACGAUAGUCGGACGGGGGUAAAUAGGAAGUUAGAGUUAUGGAGACAAACCUUGGAAUCAAAAGGGUUUAGGCUUAGUAGAACUAAAACCGAGUACAUGAUGUGCGGUUUCAGUACUACUAGCUGUGAGGAGGAGAAGGUUAGCCUUGAUGGCCAGGUGGUACCUCGGAAGGACACCUUUCGGUAUUUGGGGUCAAUGUUGCAGGAGGAUGGGGGUAUUGAUGAAGAGGUGAACCAUCGAAUCAAAGCCGGAUGGAUGAAGUGGCGCCAAGCUUCUGGCAUUCUCUGUGACAAGAGAGUGCCACAAAAGCUAAAAGGCAAGUUCUACAGGACGGCGGUUCGACCCGCAAUGUUGUAUGGCGCGGAGUGUUGGCCGACUAAAAGGCGACAUGUUCAACAGUUAGGUGUGGCGGAGAUGCGUAUGUUGAGAUGGAUGUGUGGCCACACGAGGAAGGAUCGAGUCCGGAAUGAUGAUAUACGAGAUAGAGUUGGGGUAGCACCAAUUGAGGAGAAGCUUGUCCAACAUCGUUUGAGAUGGUUUGGGCAUAUUCAGCGCAGGCCUCCAGAAGCUCCAGUGCAUAGCGGACGGCUAAAGCGUGCGGAGAAUGUCAAGAGAGGGCGGGGUCGACCGAUUUUGACAUGGGAGGAGUCCGUUAAGAGAGACCUGAAGUAUUGG
This 1014-nucleotide ribosomal RNA is filed under the name Triticum aestivum (bread wheat). RNAcentral's name for it is "partial small subunit ribosomal RNA". The record is from RNAcentral. Lineage: Eukaryota; Viridiplantae; Streptophyta; Magnoliopsida; Poales; Poaceae.